RNAcentral lists this ribosomal RNA (484 nucleotides) under uncultured bacterium. RNAcentral describes it as "partial 16S ribosomal RNA". It matches the Rfam family "Bacterial small subunit ribosomal RNA", at positions 28 to 507 of the family's 1533-position model. The record is from RNAcentral.
GAUUAACGCUAGCGGCAGGCAUAAUACAUGCAAGUUGAACGGCAGCACAGGUAGCAAUACUGGGUGGCGAGUGGCGCACGGGUGCGUAACACGUAUGCAACCUACCCUAUACAGGCGAAUAACCGUUAGAAAUGAGGGCUAAUACGCCGUAGUAUUACAGAUGGGCAUCUAUUUGUAAUUAAAGAUUUAUCGGUAUAGGAUGGGCAUGCGUCCCAUUAGUUAGUUGGUAAGGUAACGGCUUACCAAGACGAUGAUGGGUAGGGGAUCUGAGAGGACUUACCCCCACACUGGUACUGAGACACGGACCAGACUCCUACGGGAGGCAGCAGUAAGGAAUAGUGGGCAAUGGCCGCGAGGCUGACCCAGCCAUGCCGCGUGCAGGAAGACGGCCUUAUGGGUUGUAAACUGCUUUUAUACUGGAAUAAUAGAGUGUACGCGUACAUUUAUGCCAGUAUCGUAUGAAUAAGCAUCGGCUAACUCCGUG